GAGCUCUAGCUUGCUAGAGUGGAAAGUGGCGAAAGGGUGAGUAACACGUGAAUAAUCUACCCUCAAGUCGGGGAUAGCCUCUGGAAACGGAGAUUAAUACCGGAUGUGGUAAUCAGAUCGCAUGUUCUGAUUACUAAAAUCUUUUUGCUUGAGGAUGAGUUCGCGGCCCAUUAGCUAGUUGGUAGGGUAACGGCCUACCAAGGCUCUGACGGGUAGGUGGUCUGAGAGGAUGGUCACCCACACUGGGACUGAGACACUGCCCAGACUCCUACGGGAGGCUGCAGUCGAGAAUCUUCCGCAAUGGGCGAAAGCCUGACGGAGCAAUGCCGCGUGAACGAUGACGGUCUUCGGAUUGUAAAGUUCUGUCACCAGGGACGAAAUUUGACGGUACCUGGAGAGGAAGUGACGGCUAACUACGUGCCAGCAGCCGCGGUAAUACGUAGGUCACGAGCGUUAAUCGGAUUUAUUGGGCGUAAAGGGUCCGCAGGGGGUUUAUUAAGUCUGAUGUGAAAGCCGGCGGCUCAACCGCUGAACUGCAUUGGAAACUGAUGAACUGGAGUAUCGGAGAGGAAAGUGGAAUUCCUGGUGUAGCGGUGGAAUGCUUAGAUAUCAGGAGGAUCAUCAAUGGCGAAGGCAGCUUUCUGGACGAUUACUGACCCUCAUGGACGAAAGCGUGGGUAGCAAACAGGAUUAGAUACCCUGGUAGUCCACGCUGUAA
This 718-nucleotide ribosomal RNA is filed under the name uncultured bacterium. RNAcentral's name for it is "bacterial SSU rRNA". It matches the Rfam family "Bacterial small subunit ribosomal RNA", at positions 70 to 805 of the family's 1533-position model. The record is from RNAcentral.